UUUCCGUAGGUGAACCUGCGGAAGGAUCAUUACCGAAUUGUCAAACGGGUUGUUGCUGGUCUUCAAACGGGGACAUGUGCACGCUCUGUUUACACAUCCACUCACACCUGUUCACCCUCCGUAGUUCUAUGGUCUGGGGGACCCUGUCUUCCUGGCGUGGUUCUACGUCUUUACACACACUCUGUAAUAAAGUCUUAUGGAAUGUAUGCCGCGUCUAACGCAAUACAAUACAACUUUCAGCAACGGAUCUCUUGGCUCUC
Molecule: unclassified non-coding RNA, 260 nt
Filed under: plant metagenome
Description: partial contains small subunit ribosomal RNA, internal transcribed spacer 1, and 5.8S ribosomal RNA
Source: RNAcentral